GCGGAUGUGGCGGAACUGGCAGACGCGCAGGCUUCAGGUGCCUGUGGGGGCAACCCCGUGGAGGUUCGAGUCCUCUCAUCCGCA
This 84-nucleotide transfer RNA is filed under the name Phycisphaerae bacterium SM23_30. RNAcentral's name for it is "tRNA-Leu". It matches the Rfam family "tRNA". Rfam says of the family: Transfer RNA (tRNA) molecules are approximately 80 nucleotides in length. RNAcentral also lists the same sequence under 2 other names. The record is from RNAcentral. Lineage: Bacteria; Pseudomonadati; Planctomycetota; Phycisphaerae.